This 12122-nucleotide long non-coding RNA is filed under the name Olea europaea (common olive). Its description in RNAcentral is "long non-coding RNA (OEUR_LNC006651)". The record is from RNAcentral. Lineage: Eukaryota; Viridiplantae; Streptophyta; Magnoliopsida; Lamiales; Oleaceae.
AUAAAGCCCCAAAAAUCAGGCAACAAAAUACAACAGUGUUCCAGAAAUUUACAAAGAACCAAACAUAGGACUUAUCUUUUCUAGAACUACACAAGGCAACCACUAUUCCACACAGGAACUAACUGAGAUCGCAAAGGUCUCACAAAUGUCGAACUUCCCACAAUGAACAAGGCUUAUUUCAAGAGAAAUCACAAGGCAAGUCAAUAUUCCAUAAAGGAAUCAACACCGAUCACAUAGAUCUACCAAAACACAGAUUCUGCCAACAAUGAAUCACUAAGAUUCAUAUACAAAUCACACAGCAAAUCAGGUUCAACUAAGGAACUGAACCAGACCACUAAGAGAGCUGCUCACUUUGAACCACAUAGGUUCAUACAAACCAAAAAUGGAACAGCACCACUACCAUAUGUAUCUAUAGUAUUACAAGGGUUUUACAGAUUUUAUUUGCUGAAAAACUCAAGAAAUCAUGCCCCAAUCACCAAGUAAAAAUACGGCUCUUCACCAAGAAAUAGAACCUAAGAAGCCGACUCAAAAAUGAAGUUCCCAUACAGUCAAGAAAAUCGAAUAGCAAUCUGUCCCAAAACCAAGAAUAUUUCUCCCCAAAAUCUCCAAAAAUAAAAGACCCAAAUUCACUGAGAAGAAGGGCUUCUCGUAGGGAAGAAAGAGAGAGCAAGAUCGAACUUCAAAUGAAAAAUUAAUCUCUCAAAAUGAUGCUGCAGUCCAGAAAGAAUUGCACCUGAUUUUUUAUAUUGCAAGUCACUAUAAUUUGAUAUAAUGGACAUAACGAUACUAGGUGUCGAAAUGUGGAUGAAAGCUUCACUAAAGAAGUUGUUACUUUGUAAAACACGACUCUUAAUUUUUGGAAGCACAAGAUUUAACUGAAACGGAUUUAAUUCUCAACAAUCUCCACCUUGCUUCCAAAAUUUAAGGCUAUAGUGCACCCACAAGCUUCACCAACAUUUAUAAUGUCUUUUGCUCCAAGUACCUGUACAAUCAAUGAAAAGAAUCAAUAGAUAACAUCUUUAAACAGUUUUGAAACUUAUUUAAAGGUAUCACCUUAGUUCCCAUAUCUAAUGGAUUAUACAAAAUAGGUAUUUUAUUUAUUUUCAGCAAUCCUUUUGAUAUAAUAUCCCUUAUAAAGUGAUAUUUUACAUCAACAUGCUUCAUUCUAUCAUGGAACAUGGGAUUCUUACUCAAAUGGAUUGCACUUUGAUUGUCAGAAUAUAGUAUUGGAUUAGUGUCUACAAAACCAAGUUCAUUCAACAAACCAUGCAGCAAUAUACCUUCUUUGAUGGCAACAGUGGCAGCAAAAUAUUCAGCCUCCGUGGAAGAUAGAGCAAUAAUUUUUUAUAACUGAGAUUUCCAACUUAUCACAGUACCACACAAAGUGUAAAAAUGAGAUGAAGUUGAUUUUCUAUUGUCUCUAUUUCUAGCAAAAUCAGAAUCUGUAUAACCUUUUAAAAUUACCCCCUCUUUGUCCAUUUUAAACAUCAAACCCAAGUUAGAUUAACCCUUUAAGUAUCUCAAUAACUACUUCAAUGCUUCCCAAUGAAUUUCACCAGGAUUUCCCAUAAAUCUACUCAAAACACUAAUACUAAAAGCCAAAUCAGGUAUGGUACAAAUCAUUAAGUACAUGACUGAACCAAUAGCAUUAGCAUAAGGAAUUUUAGACAUUCUUUCAAGUCCAUCUUCAGUUUUAGGACAUGAAUCAGAUGUUAAUAUAAAGUGAUUAGCAAGGGGUAAAGUCAUAGGUUUACAAUCAAACAUAUUAAACCUCUUUAGGAUCUUAUUCACAUAAUCUUGUUGACAUAAGAACAAGCAAUCAAAUUUCUCAUCUCUAAUAAUUUGCAUGCCAAGUAUUUUCUUAGAGGGACCAAGAUCCUUCAUUUCAAAUUCUGAUUUUAAUUUGUGUUUGAUAUCAUCAAUUUUAGAUUUAUUAGCACUAGCAAGAAGCAUAUCAUCAACAUAAAGCACAAGAUACAAUGAAUCUUUACCUCCACUUCCUUUACAAUAAAUGUAUCAUAAUUACUUCUACUAAACCCAAGUUUCAAGACAAAUGAAUCAAAUCUUUUAUACCAUUGUCUUGGAGCUUAUUUUAGACCAUAUAAUGAUUUUUUCAACAAGCACACAGUUUUUUUCAGGAUUUUCUUUAAUAAAUCCUAGAGGCUGUCUCAUGUAGAUCACUUUAUCCAAUUCACCAUACAUGAAUGCAAUUUUUACAUCUAGUUGAUCAAGAUUCCAUUUAAAUUGUACAACUAAAGCAAGAAUACAUCUUAUAGUUGUAUAUUUAACAACAGAGGAAAAAAUAUCAUCAUAGUCCACACCCUCUUUUGUGUAAAACCCUUGGCAACUAGUCUAGCUUUGUAUCUAACAUUAUUAGUGCCACCUUUCCCUUCCUUUAUUUUAUAAAUCCACUUGCAAUCAACUAGUUUCUUAUCCUUAGGUUUGUCAACCAAUUCCCAAGUUUCAUUCUUAUAUAAGAAAGCCAUAUCUUCUUCCAUAGCACUCAACCACCGCUUAAAAUCUUUAGAUUUCAAGGCUUUAUGACAGGAACUAGGUUCAGAUUCAAUUUCUUCUUGGAAAGUGAACAAAGACACAAAGUCAUCACUAUUGAACCUAGCCAGUGGUCUAAUUUGCCUCCUAUCCCUAUCUCUAGUGAGUUGGUAUUCAUCUAGAGGUAUAUUUAUGUCAUCACAUAAAUUAGGUUCGACCAAAUCAGGCUCAUUUUCAUUCUGGUCAGCCUCAUUAGUUACUGUUUCUAAGGGGGACAGAGCUGGUAUUAUCAACUUUAAUAGGCUCCACCUCAAUUUGGACAUCAUUUUUUUUUCCCUUCCAAACAUGGCAUACAUGACUCAUUAAAGACCACAUCCUUUUUUAUGAUAACCCUGUAACCUUUUUCCCCAUAAACCCACAACCUGUAACCUUUAAUAUUUUUAGCAUAGCCUAAAAACACAUAUUUAAGUUAUCUAGGUUCAAGUUUACCUAUGUUUUGAUGAGCAUAUGCAACACAACCAAAUGUUUUCAAGUAAAAAUAAAUCAAAGGCUUUUUGUGUCCAUACAGAUUUAGGCACAUCAAAAUUUAAAGCACUUGUAGGACUUCUAUUAAUCAAAUAUGCAACAGUUUUAACAGCUUCACCUCAAAAUAAUUUGGGCAAGCCUGAACUUAAAAGCAUGCAUCUAACUUUAUUCAACAAAUGAUGCGAACCCCGUAGCAACGUUGACUACAAAACCCACAAUGAGAUUGACGAACUUAAGAAAGCCAAAUUAGAGUUUAGGAUUAACCCAAAAGAAAGUCGAACCAAAAAAUUCAACAAGAACGACGCUUGAAAGACCCCUUGAUCACGCAAUCCAAGAAUUAAAUUCGGUUGUUUGAACGUCACAAGUUAACACUUGAUAAGUUCGAAAUUGUUCAAUGAAAAACGAUGAACAGAAGACAAUACGCCUCACUUUAAUUCAAUAUCAAUAAUGUCAAAAGGUUUUUUUAACAAUUGAAUGGAAACUCCUAUUUAUACUAAACCUAAAAACUAGGUAAAAAUCGUGCAAAAGUUGAGCAUAAUCUCCAAAAUAUGGAAAAGAAUCAAAAUCUAACAAAAUAUGGAAAAUUGCCAAAAUUGGAAAAUUCGCCAACUUUUUGGCCUGUGCGGCCGCAUGGUGUAUUUCCAUGCGGUCGCAUGGUUCGACAAAAAAUCUCAAUUUAAGUUUCGGUAUGCCACUGUGCAGCCGCAUGGUGUUUUUGCUGUGGGGUCGCACAGGCUUAUUUUCAGCCUCCAGUUUCGUCGCUUGAUAACAAAUUGAUCCAAAUUGAUUCGGCCUUCGACCCGAGCAUGAAAGUUGCUCCAUUUUGAGUCCCGAACAUGGUUCCAUCAAUGGAUUCUUAAACGAGCAAUCCCAUCGCUUGUUUCACUUGUGAGGCAAACCCCGUAGCAACGUUGACUACGAAACCCACAACGAGAUUGACGAACCCAAGAAAGCCAAAUUAAUCCAAGAGUUUAGGAUUAACCCAAAAGAAAGUCGAACCAAAAAACCCAACAAGAACGACGCUUGAAAGACCCCUUGAUCACGCAAUCCAAGAAUUAAAUCCGAUUGUUUGAUCGCCACAAGUUAACACUUGAUAAGUUCGAAAUUGUUCAAUAAAGAACGAUGAAGAGAAGACAAUACGCCUCACUUUAAUUCAAUAUCAAUAAUGUCAAAAGUUUUUAACAAUUGAAUGGAAACUCCUAUUUAUACUAAACCUAAAAACUAGGUAAAAAUCGUGCAAAAGUCGAGAAUAAUCUCCAAAAUAUGGAAAAGAAUCAAGAUCUAACAAAAUAUGGAAAAUUGCCAAAAUUGGAAAAUUUGCCAAAUUUUUGGUCUAUGCGGCCGUAUGGUGUAUUUCCAUGCGGUUGCAUGUUUCAACAAAAAUCUCAAUUUAAGUUUCGGUAUGCCACUGUGCAGCCUCAUGGUGUUUUUGCUGUGCGGUCGCACAGGCGUAUUUUCAGCCUCCGAUUUCGUCGCUUGAUAACAAAUUGAUCCAAGUUGAUUCGGCCUUCGACCCGAACAUGAAAGUUGCUCCAUUUUGAGUCCCGAACAUGGUUCCAUUAAUGGUUUCUUGAAUGAUCAAUCCCAUCGCUUGUUUCACUUGCUUUACCUUUGAUCGCAUCAUUGGUCCGCCAUCGACUAUCAACGGGUCUCGUCUCGCACUUGCCUUCGUCGGGCUCGACUCCUGGAUCAUAUCAUCCCCUCCCUCUUCAAAAGGAUUCGUCCUCGAAUCUGAACCUGCAUCAAACAAAGAGAGAUCAGAUACAUUAAAAGUAGCCGAAACAUUGUACUCAUCUGGAAAGUCCAACUUGUAAGCAUUGUCAUUUAUCUUUUCAAUCACUUGAAAUGAACCAUCGCCCCUCGGUUGCAACUUGGACUUCCUUUGCUCCGGAAAACACUCUUUCCUAAGGUGCACCCAAACCAAAUCUCCUGGCUUGAAUGUCAGGUGCUUCCUACCUUUGUUCGCCUGCGACGCAACCAACUUACUUUUAAUUUCAAUUUGCGCUUUUACCUUUUCAUGGAAUGACUUAAUCAAUUCCGCCUUCUUUUUGCCAUCUAAACUACCACGUUCAUUCACAUGUAAAGGAAUUAAAUCCAAAGGAGUUAGUGGAUUAAAACCAUAUACAAUUUCAAAUGGAAAAUAUGAGUAGUAGAGUGAACAGCUCAAUUGUAUGCAAAUUCAAUAAAUAGUAGACACUCCUCCCAACUCUUCAAAUUUUUAUUGAUUACUGUGCGUAACAAUUGUGUCAUAGUCCUAUUCACUACCUCAGUUUACCCAUCUGUUUGUGGAUGACAAGUUGUGGAAAAUAGUAACUUAGUGCCUAAUUUACCCCACAAAACUCUCCAAAAGUGACUCAAAGAUUUGACAUCCCGAUCCGACCCGACACUAUGCUUCUAGGAACCCCAUGUAAACGCACAAUCUCUCUAAAGAAUAAGUCAGCAAUGUUCAUGGCAUCGUCCGUUUUGUGAGAUGGUAUAAAAUGUGCUAUUUUGCUGAACCUGUCUACAACCACAAAAAUAGAAUCCCGACCUCUCUUAGUCCUAGGUAAAUCCAAAACAAAGUCCAUCGAGAUAUCAACCCAAGCUUCACUAGGUGUAGGUAAAGGUGUGUACAAAACUUGUGGUAAAUCCUUAGAUUUAACCUUUUUACAACCUAUGCAUAGACUACAAAUUCGCUCAACAUCACUUUUCAUCUUAGGCCAAUAAAAAUGCUCCUUCAAUAUAUCUAAAGUCUUUUGAACCCCAAGGUGUCCCAUCAAUCCACCACUAUGUGCCUCCCUUACUAACAACUCCCGAAUAGAACAAUUAGGAACACAUAAUCUAUUUUCCCGAAAUAAAUACCCCUCAUGCCUAAAGAACCUAUCAACCACCCCUUUUAUGCAUGACAAAUAAAUAUCCGAAAAUUCAACAUCUUUUUCAUACAAUUCCUUAAUAUGUUCAAACCCAAGUAACUUGGAAUCAAGAGUAGUUAGCAAUACGUACCUUCGCGACAACGCAUUCGCCACCACAUUUUUCUUACCUUGCUUUUACCGAAUGACGUAUGGAAAGGUCUCAAUGAAUUCCAUCCACCUUGCAUGCCUCUUGUUCAAUUUACCUUGUCCCCGCAAGUGCUUUAAUGACUCAUGAUCGGUGUGUAUUACGAACUCUUUCGGCCAUAGAUAAUGUUGCCAAGUCUUCAAAGCUCGAAGAAGUGCAUAAAGUUCUUUGUCAUAUGUAGGAUAAUUUGAAGUAGCUCCACUCAAUUUCUCGCUAAAGUAUGCAAUAGGCCUCCGAUCCUGCUUUAAAACUGCUCCAAUCCCUAUUCCUGAUGCAUCACACUCAAUCUCGGAUGUUUUAUCAAAGUUAGGUAAUGCCAAAAUAGGUGCUUCACACAAUCUACCUUUAAUAGUAUUAAAUGCAAGUUCCUGUUCAUCACCCCAAUGAAAACCUACACUCUUUUUAACUACUUCCGUGAGUGGUGCAGUGAUAGUACUAAAAUCCUUCACAAAUCGCCUAUAAAAACUAACCAAACCAUGAAAACUCCUAACUUCCGUUUGCUUUUAGGUGUCGGCUAAUCUCUAAUAGCUUUUAUCUUUUCAUCGUCUACUUCUACCCUAUUAGCACUAACCACAAAUCCAAGAAAUAUAACUCUAUCCAUACAAAACGUGUAUUUCUUAAUAUUAGCAUAGAGUUGUUCUUUCCUUAAAACAAUUAGCACACACUUUAAAUGUUCCAAAUGCUCUCCUAGAUUUUUGCUAUAGAUUAAGAUGUCGUCAAAAUAAACCACAACAAAUUUUCCUAUAAAAGCAUGUAAAACACGAUUCAUUAAACGCGUAAAAGUGCUAGGUGCAUUUGUGAGUCCAAACAGCAUAACCAACCAUUCAUAUAAACCAUAUUUAGUUUUAAAAGUCGUUUUCCAUUCAUCACCCUCCCGCAUACGAAUUUGAUGAUACCCACUUUUUAAAUCAAUUUUAGAAAAUAUGCAAGCACCAUGUAAUUCAUCAAGCAUGUCAUCUGACCUAGGUAUAGGGUGACGAUACUUUACCGUUAUGUUGUUGAUAGCCCUACAAUCCACGCACAUUCGCCAUGUUCCAUCCUUUUUUGGUACAAGCAAAAUCGGUACCGCACAAGGACUCAUGCUUUCCCUCACGUAUCUUUUACUCAUUAACUCCUCCACUUGCCUUUGAAGCUCCUUAGUCUCCUCGGGAUAACUUCGAUAAGCCGGUCAAUUUGGAAUGACAGCUCCGGGUAUGAAGUCAAUUUGAUGUUCAAUGCCUCGAAUAGGCGGCAAUCCACUUGGUGCAUCCUCUGGAAAUACAUCGUCGAAUUCCUGCAACAAAGACUUAGCCAAAGUAGGGAGGGGUGGGUUAGUUUCCUCAAAAUUGAGCAGUGAUUCCUUAUAAACGAACAAGAUCAUCUCUUUUCUCUCAACUACCGCUCUCCUCAAAUCACUCUCUUUUGCAAAGAAAUUCGCUCGUGUUUUCUCUCUUCUCUCGGGGCACUCUCUUUCUUUUCUCUCUUGUGAUUGCUCUCUCUUUUUCUCUCUAAUGGCUAUCUCAAUAUUUUCUCUCUUUUUCUCCAACUCACUAUUUGCUCUCAUUUUUUCUAACUCCUUUGCUCUCCUCUCUUUCUCACUUCUCAAUUUUAAUUGGUCUUCAUAGACUUGUGCCGGUGUUAAUGGCACAAGAGUAAUGGUCCUUCCAUCCUUAAUGAAACUAUAUCGAUUUUUGUACCCAUCAUGCAUAGCCUUCCUAUCGUAUUGCCAUGGUCGCCCCAAUAAAAUAUGUCCCGCUUUCAUUGGCACCACAUCACAUACUAACUCAUCCUUAUAACUCCUAAUUGACAAAUUAAUUAAUACUCUUCGAUUCAUCCUCACCUCGCCACUCUCAUUCAACAAUUACAAUUUAUAAGGUCUCGGGUGUCUCAACAAUGUUAAACCCAAUUUUUCUACAAGAGAUACGCUAGCUACAUUAAUGCAACUACCACCAUCAAUUAUAACACUAAAUACCGUAUUGUUGACAUGGCAUCGAGUGUGGAAAAUGUUCUCCCUUUGCAACUCCAAGUCAACCGCUUUGACGUGAGUAGUGAGAGCUCGCCUUGUGACUAGUAGAUCCCCAACCGGCCCUUCAACUUUUUCUUCUUCAUUAACACCCUCCAACACUGGCAUGUCAUCAAACUCGCCAUCACUAUCGCUCACAAUCUCUCCAUUAUCCCGCAGCACCAUCGCCCAUUUGUUUGGGCAUUGAGAAGCAAUAUGUCCCGUUCCCAAACACCUAAAACAUUUGAUGUCCCGAUUGCGCGACGGUUGUGCCUCCGAUUUUGAUAUUGGUUUGCUAGCGUUUUCAUCCUUGCCCUUUUGCCAAUCAUUUUUACCUCUAGGUGCAGCCCCGUUUUUGUUGUUAUCAUCCCACUUCGAUUUCCAUGUUGAUUAGGAGUCGAAGUACCUAACGGUUGCCUAGACGUCCCCUUCCUCUUCAAUUGCCUCUCAACCUUCAUUGCUACAUGUAACAUGUCCUCGAUUUCCACAUAGUGUUGCAACUCUACAACAUUUGCAAUAUCCCGAUUUAACCCAUUCAAGAACCGUGUCAUGGUAGCUUCUCGAUCUUCCUCCACAUUAGCCCGAAUCAUAAGAAUUUCCAUCUCCUUGUGAUAAUCCCCUGCACUUUUCGAUCCUUGGUACAAACCUUGCAAUUUUUGAUGAAUUUCCCUAUAAUAGUGACUCGGAACAAACCUCCUCCUCAUCAACAUUUUCAACUCAUCCCAAGUGCUAAUUGGCCUUUCCCAAUCCCUACAUCGUGAUGUAAGUACUUGAUCCCACCAAGAUAUCGCGUAAUCCACGAAUUCAAGCACCGCGAAUUUUACCUUUUUCUCCUCCGAAUAAUUAUAGCACCCAAAAAUCAUCUCAACCUUCCUUUCUCGCUCUAAAUAUGCUUCUGGAUCGCUUCUCCCCUUAAAUUAUGGAAUAGUCAUUUUAAUACUCCCCAAAUUUUCAUCUACUUCAUCUCCCAAGUCAUUCCUACCCCGUCUUUCCAUCCUAUCGCUCCUAUGCCUCGCUCGACCCAUAUCAAUGUCAUUUUCAUCAAAAUCAUCCUCAUCACUACGAUACUCAUCCCGCCUUCCUCUCCUAGAUUCACGCCUACCCGGCUCUCUAGCAUUAGACAUCUCCACUUGUCCCCGACUAAGAUUAGCAAUUGUAGUACCCAUUUGUGCUAUCCAUUCCCCUUGCCUAUCCACCUUCUCCCUAACAUCACCAAAUACCCUUUCAAACCUCCUUAUCACGUCCUCCGAUGCAUUGUUGUCAUUACCAUUUCGACUUGAAUUAGAACCUUCUCUUUUCGGCAUCAUAUCACACAAUUUUUUUAUGCCUCACAAAGAUUUCACUCGGAAAACACUCACUAUGGCUUUUUCCCUCUAUUAAACUCACCACUCGGCCUUUUACCACUCAAAGUCUCCCUCCAAGCACUUCAAAGAACCAAGUGAACUAAAUCAAUUAUUUUACCGACAAUUCAAACAAACCGAAUAUUAAUCAAAGACCACGAGACUCAAAGGACUUGAAUAAGUGGAAUAGAUGAAUGUUUUGACACAAUUAUGUGAAUAGACUCAAAAGAAAAAUGAAAGACUCGAACCCAGUUGAAUAUCCCAAAAAUCAAACACAAUGUAGGAAUUGUUGUUGGUAGAAAAAAACACAAAAUCAAACAGUGAUAUCAAUUUUUAUAUAUAUAUAUAUAUUUUAUUUUUGUGAACAAUAUUUCGAGAUGAACAGUACCUCGAAUGUACAGUAACCUUUUUUUUUAUUUUUGUACUCUUUUUUUUUUACUCCUUGAUGAAAGAAGAUGAUUAAACUACCAAUAACUAAACGAAACGACGAAAAGAAAAACAAGGAUGAAGAAGAACUAAGAAAGAAUGAUUAAAAUAGAAGAAGAAACUAAGAAAACAAAAUUAACGACUCAACAAAUAAAGAAAAGAUAUAACCUUCAAUUAAUUUGGAGCCAAAGUUCUGAUACCAACUGAUGCGAACCCCGUAGCAACGUUGACUACGAAACCUACAACAAGAUUGACGAACCCAAGAAUGUCAAAUUAAUCCAAGAGUUUAGGAUUAACCCAAAAGAAAGUCGAACCAAAAAACCCAACAAGAACGACGCUUGAAAGACCCCUUGAUCACGCAAUCCAAGAAUUAAAUCCGGUUUGUUUGAAUGCCACAAGUUAAAACUUGAUAAAUUCGAAAUUGUUCAAUGAAGAACGAUGAAGAGAAGACAAUACGCCUCACUUUAAUUCAAUAUCAGUAAUGUCAAAAGGUUUUUUUAACAAUUGAAUGGAAACUCCUAUUUAUACUAAACCUAAAAACUAGGUAAAAAUCGUGCAAAAGUUGAGCAUAAUCUCCAAAAUAUGGAAAAGAAUCAAAAUCUAACAAAAUAUGGAAAAUUGCCAAAAUUGAAAAAUUCUCCAAAUUUUUUGCCUGUGCGGCCGCAUGGUGUAUUUCCAUACGGUCGCAUGAUUCAACAAAAAAUCUCAAUUUAAGUUUCGAUAUGCCAUUGUGCGGCCGCAUGGUAUUUUUGCUGUGCAGUCACACAGGCUUAUUUUCAGCCUCCGAUUUCGUCGCUUGAUAACAAAUUGAUCCAAGUUGAUUCGGCUUUCGACCCGAGCAUGAUAGUUGCUCCAUUUUGAGUCCCGAACAUGGUUCCAUCAAUGGUUUCUUGAACGAGAAAUCCCAUUGCUUGUUUCACUUGCUUUGCCCUUGAUCACAUCAUUGGUCCGCCAUCGACUAUCAACGGGUCUCGUCUCGCACUUGUCUUCGUCAGGCUCGACUCUUGGAUCAUAUCAACAAAGUUCUAUUCAUUCUUUCUGCAAUGCCAUUUUGCUGGGGUGUGUAUGUUACAGUUCUAUGUCUUCAGAUGUCAUUCAACUUGUAAAAAUCAUUAAACUCAUAAUUGCAAAAUUCUAGUCCAUUGUCUGUUCUCAAAGUUUUGAUUUGAUUUUCAAUUUGGGUUUCCAAUCUUUAAAUGUAGUAAAUGUUUCAUCUUUAGUUUUCAAAAGAAAUACCCAAAUUUUUCUUGAGAAAUCAUCAAUAAUAAGCAAGUAAUACUUGUAACCAGACAAUGUAGGGAUGGAUGCCAGACCCCACAAAUCCGCAUGUAAAUAUUCUAGAAUUUGCUUUGAUUUAUGAGUACUAGUGGGAAAAGGUAAUUUAACCUGCAUUCCAAUCAAACAUUGUUCACAUUUAGCCAAUUCACCAAUAUUUGAUUUUCCAAAUACACCUUUAUUUUGUAAAGCGUUUAAACCUUUUACCCCAAUGUGAACAAGUCUACAAUGCCACAAUUUUGCAAGAUUUUUUUGGCCGAAGCCCCAGAGGUUCCGCGACCACUUCUAAUGCCUAUUCCCCUGUUGAGCAUCCAUUAAAAUGGAUAGAGCUCGGUUGCACCAUAAAGCCCCAAAAAUCAGGCGACAAAAUACAACAGUGUUCCAGAAAUUUACAAAGAACCAAAUAUAGGACUUAUCUUUUCUAGAACUACACAAGGCAACCACUAUUCCACACAGGAACUAAUUGAGAUCACAAAGGUCUCACAAAUGUCGAACUUCCCACAAUGAACGAGGUUUAUUUCAAGAGAAAUCAUAAGGCAAGUCAAUAUUCUACAAAGGAAUCAACACCGAUCACAUAGAUCUACCAAAACACAGAUUCUGCCAACAAUGAAUCACUAAGAUUCAUAUACAAAUCACACAGCAAAUUAGGUUCCACUAAGGAAUUGAACCAGACCACUAAGAUCUUCAAAAACCCGACCUGCUCAAUUCGAACCACACAGGUUCAUACAAACCAAAAAUGGAACAGCACCACUACCAUAUGUAUCUAUAGUAUUACAAGGAUUUUACAGAUUUUAUUUGCUGAAAAACUCGAGAAAUCAUGCUCCAAUCACCAAGUAAAAAUACGGCUCUUCACCAAGAAAUAGAACCCAAGAAGCCGACUCAAAAAUGGAGUUCCCACACAGUUAAGAAAACCGAACAGCAAUCUGUCCCAAAACCAAGAAUAUUUCUCCCCAAAAUCUCCAAAAAUAAAAGACCCAAAUUCACCAAGAAGAAGGGCUUCUCGUAGGGAAGAAAGAGAGAGCAAGAUCGGACUUCAAAUGAAAAAUUAA